AGCAGUGCAGGUCAUCCACCUGAAUGUUUAGCUGAAGAAGUCUCCUUUUCUGAUAGCUAACAAUAAACUUGUGUUUUGGUUGUGCAACAUCGUUUCAUCUCUGUUCUGCAGCAUUUUCCUUUUUUUUCCUACAACAUCAUGUAGCUUCUAGAGAUUGAGUACCUUCCUCCAGGUGUAAGAUUAUAUCCCUGGGUAAACCAAG
This 202-nucleotide unclassified non-coding RNA is filed under the name Hevea brasiliensis (rubber tree). The record is from RNAcentral. Lineage: Eukaryota; Viridiplantae; Streptophyta; Magnoliopsida; Malpighiales; Euphorbiaceae.